This 497-nucleotide ribosomal RNA is filed under the name uncultured bacterium. Its description in RNAcentral is "partial 16S ribosomal RNA". It matches the Rfam family "Bacterial small subunit ribosomal RNA", at positions 28 to 507 of the family's 1533-position model. The record is from RNAcentral.
GAUGAACGCUGGCGGCGUGCCUAAUACAUGCAAGUCGAGCGAACAGAUGAGGAGCUUGCUCCUCUGACGUUAGCGGCGGACGGGUGAGUAACACGUGGAUAACCUACCUAUAAGACUGGGAUAACUUCGGGAAACCGGAGCUAAUACCGGAUCAUAUAUUGAACCGCAUGGUUCAAUAGUGAAAGACGGUUUUGCUGUCACUUAUAGAUGGAUCCGCGCCGCAUUAGCUAGUUGGUAAGGUAACGGCUUACCAAGGCAACGAUGCGUAGCCGACCUGAGAGGGUGAUCGGCCACGCUGGAACUGAGACACGGUCCAGACUCCUACGGGAGGCAGCAGUAGGGAAUCUUCCGCAAAGGGCGAAAGCCUGACGGAGCAACGCCGCGUGAGUGAUGAAGGUCUUCGGAUCGUAAAACUCUGUUAUUAGGGAAGAACAAAUGUGUAAGUAACUAUGCACGUCUUGACGGUACCUAAUCAGAAAGCCACGGCUAACUACGUG